Molecule: ribosomal RNA, 497 nt
Filed under: uncultured bacterium
Lineage: Bacteria
Description: partial 16S ribosomal RNA
Rfam family: Bacterial small subunit ribosomal RNA
Source: RNAcentral
GAUGAACGCUGGCGGCGUGCCUAAUACAUGCAAGUCGAGCGAACAGAUGAGGAGCUUGCUCCUCUGACGUUAGCGGCGGACGGGUGAGUAACACGUGGAUAACCUACCUAUAAGACUGGGAUAACUUCGGGAAACCGGAGCUAAUACCGGAUAAUAUAUUGAACCGCAUGGUUCAAUAGUGAAAGACGGUUUUGCUGUCACUUAUAGAUGGAUCCGCGCCGCAUUAGCUAGUUGGUAAGGUAACGGCUUACCAAGGCAACGAUGCGUAGCCGACCUGAGAGGGUGAUCGGCCACACUGGAACUGAGACACGGUCCAGACUCCUACGGGAGGCAGCAGUAGGGAAUCUUCCGCAAUGGGCGAAAGCCUGACGGAGCAACGCCGCGUGAGUGAUGAAGGUCUUCGGAUCGUAAAACUCUGUUAUUAGGGAAGAACAAAUGUGUAAGUAACUAUGCACGUCUUGACGGUACCUAAUCAGAGAGUCACGGCUAACUACGUG